GGAUCCGAAGGUGAUUUGGCUGCACUAUCUGCCACCUCUUUGUUCACCAGAGUUGAAACUGCUGAUCUGGUUGCCUAGACUGGUGUUUCCUUCCUCCCUCCUCACACCCCUCCAGAACCUGAGCACUCGGUCAAGAGGAUGACCUUCCCUUAUAGAAAAGAACCAGUCUUCUGUAAAGAAUAGAAGAGUAGCUGCACUUGCCUGCUAGAAAUUCCAGACAAUUUCUCAAGAUCCUUUUUUUUUCUUUUUCCUUUUCCUUCCUUUUUUUUUUUUUUUUGGAGACAGGGUCUCACACUCUCACCCAGAUUGGAGUGCAGUGGCCCGAUCUC
This 329-nucleotide small nuclear RNA is filed under the name Pan paniscus (pygmy chimpanzee). RNAcentral's name for it is "7SK RNA (ENSPPAG00000009698.1)". It matches the Rfam family "7SK RNA", at positions 1 to 275 of the family's 331-position model. Rfam says of the family: 7SK was discovered as an abundant small nuclear RNA in the mid-70s but a possible function has only recently been suggested. Lineage: Eukaryota; Metazoa; Chordata; Mammalia; Primates; Hominidae. The record is from RNAcentral.